UGUUGGAGUAUAGAGGAAAAUGAGAGUAAGAAUGAGAGUGAUGAUGAGAUUGAGAGAAAGGAUGAGAUAGGUGUUUUCACUUUUGUUACUCAUCCCUCUCAUCUUCCCUCUCCAAUUCCAUCUUCACUCUCAUUC
Molecule: microRNA precursor, 135 nt
Filed under: Prunus dulcis (almond)
Lineage: Eukaryota; Viridiplantae; Streptophyta; Magnoliopsida; Rosales; Rosaceae
Description: sRNA ncRNA
Source: RNAcentral